UCGAGAAUUUUUCUCAAUGGGGGCAACCCUGAAGGAGCGACGCCGCGUGGAGGAUGAAGGCUUUCGGGUUGUAAACUCCUGUCAUUUGGGAACAAGUUGGACGCAGUUACUACGCGUCCAUUGAUAGUACCAGAAGAGGAAGAGACGGCUAACUCUGUGCCAGCAGCCGCGGUAAUACAGAGGUCUCAAGCGUUGUUCGGAUUCAUUGGGCGUAAAGGGUGCGUAGGUGGCGCUGUAAGUCAGGUGUGAAAUUUCGGAGCUUAACUCCGAAACUGCAUUCGAUACUGCGGUGCUUGAGGACUGGAGAGGAGACUGGAAUUUACGGUGUAGCAGUGAAAUGCGUAGAGAUCGUAAGGAAGACCAGUGGCGAAGGCGGGUCUCUGGACAGUUCCUGACACUGAGGCACGAAGGCCAGGGGAGCAAACGGGAUUAGAUACCCGGGUAGUCC
Molecule: ribosomal RNA, 448 nt
Filed under: uncultured bacterium
Lineage: Bacteria
Description: bacterial SSU rRNA
Rfam family: Bacterial small subunit ribosomal RNA
Source: RNAcentral